RNAcentral lists this small nuclear RNA (107 nucleotides) under Myotis brandtii (Brandt's bat). The record is from RNAcentral. Lineage: Eukaryota; Metazoa; Chordata; Mammalia; Chiroptera; Vespertilionidae.
GUGCUCGCUUAGGCAGCACAUAUACUAAAAUUGGAACGUUGCAGAGAAGAUUAGCACCGCCCCUGUGCAAGGAUGACGCGUAAAUUCGUGAAGUGUUCCAUAUUUUG